CCUACGGGUGGCUGCAGUGGGGAAUAUUGGACAAUGGGGGGAACCCUGAUCCAGCCAUGCCGCGUGUGUGAAGAAGGCCCUCGGGUUGUAAAGCACUUUCAGUGAGGAAGAACGCCUGGUGGUUAAUACCCAUCAGGAAAGACAUCACUCACAGAAGAAGCACCGGCUAACUCCGUGCCAGCAGCCGCGGUAAUACGGAGGGUGCGAGCGUUAAUCGGAAUUACUGGGCGUAAAGCGCGCGUAGGUGGCUUGAUAAGCCGGUUGUGAAAGCCCCGGGCUCAACCUGGGAACGGCAUCCGGAACUGUCAAGCUAGAGUGCAGGAGAGGAAGGUAGAAUUCCCGGUGUAGCGGUGAAAUGCGUAGAGAUCGGGAGGAAUACCAGUGGCGAAGGCGGCCUUCUGGACUGACACUGACACUGAGGUGCGAAAGAGUGGGUAGCAAACAGGAUUAGAUACCCCAGUAGUC
RNAcentral lists this ribosomal RNA (465 nucleotides) under Vreelandella stevensii. RNAcentral's name for it is "partial 16S ribosomal RNA". It matches the Rfam family "Bacterial small subunit ribosomal RNA", at positions 338 to 795 of the family's 1533-position model. Lineage: Bacteria; Pseudomonadati; Pseudomonadota; Gammaproteobacteria; Oceanospirillales; Halomonadaceae. The record is from RNAcentral.